Molecule: ribosomal RNA, 447 nt
Filed under: uncultured bacterium
Lineage: Bacteria
Description: bacterial SSU rRNA
Rfam family: Bacterial small subunit ribosomal RNA
Source: RNAcentral
UGGGGAAUAUUGGACAAUGGGCGCAAGCCUGAUCCAGCCAUGCCGCGUGGGUGAUGAAGGCCCUAGGGUUGUAAAGCCCUUUCGGCGGGGAAGAUAAUGACGGUACCCGCAGAAGAAGCCCCGGCUAACUUCGUGCCAGCAGCCGCGGUAAUACGAAGGGGGCUAGCGUUGCUCGGAAUCACUGGGCGUAAAGCGCACGUAGGCGGCUUCUUAAGUCGGUGGUGAAAUCCUGGAGCUCAACUCCAGAACUGCCUUCGAUACUGAGAGGCUCGAGUCCGGGAGAGGUGAGUGGAACUGCGAGUGUAGAGGUGAAAUUCGUAGAUAUUCGCAAGAACACCAGUGGCGAAGGCGGCUCACUGGCCCGGUACUGACGCUGAGGUGCGAAAGCGUGGGGAGCAAACGGGAUUAGAUACCCUAGUAGUCCCUGAGCGGGCUGGCAAGGCGCAU